AGGGAUCUGCUUCGCUUGAGAUUUCGAAAGAAUUUUCACUUGGCUCCUCCUCGAAAUAUCUAUGUUUUUAGAAUUAGUUUUAAUCAUCAGGCUAAGGAGGGUGGAAAAUUUUUCAUUGAAAUCUUCUUGCAUCAUUUUUAGUUCAGAUCUAAGAUCACUAAUUUCUUCAAACCUAUAUUUUUCAAGCUCUAGAAUUCUUUUGUUUAGAUUUUCAGCUUCAAAAGAGGGAAAACUAGGAUAUGCAUUGGAAUUAGCUUGAAUAACCCAGAUAGGUUCGGAAGAGCAUUUCCCGCUGUCAUAAGGCUCGCGACCGCGGUGAAACAAGUCUUGGCCGCGGUC
Molecule: long non-coding RNA, 339 nt
Filed under: Eutrema salsugineum
Lineage: Eukaryota; Viridiplantae; Streptophyta; Magnoliopsida; Brassicales; Brassicaceae
Description: long non-coding RNA (ESAL_LNC001348)
Source: RNAcentral